RNAcentral lists this ribosomal RNA (450 nucleotides) under uncultured bacterium. RNAcentral's name for it is "partial 16S ribosomal RNA". It matches the Rfam family "Bacterial small subunit ribosomal RNA", at positions 354 to 796 of the family's 1533-position model. The record is from RNAcentral.
GUGGGGAAUCUUCCGCAAUGGACGAAAGUCUGACGGAGCAACGCCGCGUGAGUGAUGACGGCCUUCGGGUUGUAAAGCUCUGUGAUCGGGGACGAAUGGCUGGUAUGCUAAUACCAUAUCAGAGUGACGGUACCCGAAUAGCAAGCCACGGCUAACUACGUGCCAGCAGCCGCGGUAAUACGUAGGUGGCAAGCGUUGUCCGGAAUUAUUGGGCGUAAAGCGCGCGCAGGCGGCUUCUUAAGUCCAUCUUAAAAGUGCGGGGCUUAACCCCGUGAUGGGAUGGAAACUGGGAGGCUGGAGUAUCGGAGAGGAAAGUGGAAUUCCUAGUGUAGCGGUGAAAUGCGUAGAGAUUAGGAAGAACACCGGUGGCGAAGGCGACUUUCUGGACGACAACUGACGCUGAGGCGCGAAAGCGUGGGGAGCAAACAGGAUUAGAUACCCCAGUAGUCC